GACGAACGCUGGCGGCGUGCCUAAUACAUGCAAGUCGAGCGAAUUUACGAGAGCUUGCUCUCGUAAAUUAGCGGCGGACGGGUGAGUAACACGUGGGCAACCUGCCUAUAAGACUGGGAUAACUUCGGGAAACCGGAGCUAAUACCGGAUAAUUCACAACUACUCAUGUAGAUGUGCUGAAAGACGGUUUACGCUGUCACUUAUAGAUGGGGCCCGCGGCGCAUAGCUAGUUGGUGAGGUAACGGCUCACCAAGGCAACGAUGCGUAGCCGACCUGAGAGGGUGAUCGGCCACACUGGGACUGAGACACGGCCCAGACUCCUACGGGAGGCAGCAGUAGGGAAUCUUCCGCAAUGGACGAAAGCCUGACGCAGCGACGCCGCGUGAGGGAUGACGGCCU
Molecule: ribosomal RNA, 399 nt
Filed under: uncultured bacterium
Lineage: Bacteria
Description: bacterial SSU rRNA
Rfam family: Bacterial small subunit ribosomal RNA
Source: RNAcentral